RNAcentral lists this unclassified non-coding RNA (210 nucleotides) under fungal sp. Its description in RNAcentral is "partial internal transcribed spacer region". The record is from RNAcentral. Lineage: Eukaryota; Fungi.
AAGUCGUAACAAGGUUUCCAUAGGUGAACCUGCCGAACCAUUAGCUGGUUGCAGUUCAAUGGCACUUGUCAGAGACUGUAACCGCAUGGGUAGGUCUCAAUGUCUGACGGACUUUGAGCCGUCAGCUAUUUACCAACUACUUCAUCAUUGAAUUUGACUGACUUAUCUUUAUAAUUAAGAAAAUUUUUAGCAAUGGAUCUCUAGGCUCUC